This 435-nucleotide ribosomal RNA is filed under the name uncultured bacterium. RNAcentral describes it as "partial 16S ribosomal RNA". It matches the Rfam family "Bacterial small subunit ribosomal RNA", at positions 29 to 507 of the family's 1533-position model. The record is from RNAcentral.
AGCGAACGCUGGCGGCAGGCUUAACACAUGCAAGUCGAGCGGGCACUUUCGGGUGUCAGCGGCGGACGGGUGAGUAACGCGUGGGAACGUGCCCUCUGGUUCGGAAUAACUCAGGGAAACUUGAGCUAAUACCGGAUACGCCCUUUUGGGGAAAGGCUUGCUGCCGGAGGAUCGGCCCGCGUCUGAUUAGCUAGUUGGUGAGGUAACGGCUCACCAAGGCGACGAUCAGUAGCUGGUCUGAGAGGGUGAUCAGCCACACUGGGACUGAGACACGGCCCAGACUCCUACGGGAGGCAGCAGUGGGGAAUAUUGGACAAUGGGCGCAAGCCUGAUCCAGCCAUGCCGCGUGAGUGAUGAAGGCCUUAGGGUUGUAAAGCUCUUUUAUCCGGGACGAUAAUGACGGUACCGGAGGAAUAAGCCCCGGCUAACUUCGUG